This 406-nucleotide ribosomal RNA is filed under the name uncultured bacterium. Its description in RNAcentral is "partial 16S ribosomal RNA". It matches the Rfam family "Bacterial small subunit ribosomal RNA", at positions 30 to 526 of the family's 1533-position model. The record is from RNAcentral.
AUUGAACGCUGGCGGCAGGCCUAACCCAUGCAAGUCGAACGAGUGGCGGACGGGUGAGUAAUGUCUGGGAAACUGCCUGAUGGAGGGGGAUAACUACUGGAAACGGUAGCUAAUACCGCAUACCAUCAGAUGCGCCCAGAUGGGAUGAGCUUGUUGGGGGGGUAAAGGCUCACCAAGGCGAGUAUCCCUAGCUGGUCUGAGAGGAUGACCGUCCACACUGGAACUGAGACACGGUCCAGACUCGUACGGGAGGCAGAAGGGGGGAAUAUUGCACAAUGGGCGCAAGCCUGAUGCAGCCAUGCCGCGUGUAUGAAGAAGGCCUGCGGGUUGUAAAGUACGUUCAGCGGGGAGGCGUUACCCGCAGAAGAAGCACCGGCUAACUCCGUGCCAGCAGCCGCGGUAAUUC